This 203-nucleotide long non-coding RNA is filed under the name Mytilus galloprovincialis (Mediterranean mussel). Lineage: Eukaryota; Metazoa; Mollusca; Bivalvia; Mytilida; Mytilidae. The record is from RNAcentral.
UUACAAGUAAAGGCAACAGUAGUAUACCGCUGUUCGAAAUUCAUAAAUCGAUAGAGAAAAACAAAUCCGAGUUACAAACUAAAACUGAGGGAAACGCAUCAAAUAUAAGAGAACUACGACACAACAGAAAUACAACAUUAAAAUGUAACACACACAGAAACGAACUAUAAUAUAACAAUGGCCAUUUCCUGACUUGCUACAGG